RNAcentral lists this ribosomal RNA (486 nucleotides) under uncultured bacterium. RNAcentral's name for it is "partial 16S ribosomal RNA". It matches the Rfam family "Bacterial small subunit ribosomal RNA", at positions 28 to 523 of the family's 1533-position model. The record is from RNAcentral.
GACGAACGCUCGCUGCGUGCUUAACACAUGCAAGUCGAAAGCUGAAGCCCGCAGCUUGCUGUGGGUGGAUGAGUGGCGAACGGGUGAGUAACACGUGAGUAACCUGCCCCUGACUUCGGGAUAAGCCCGGGAAACUGGGUCUAAUACCGGAUACGACCAUCGGACGCAUGUCUGGUGGUGGAAAGUUUUUUCGGUUGGGGAUGGGCUCGCGGCCUAUCAGUUUGUUGGUGAGGUGAUGGCUCACCAAGACGACGACGGGUAGCCGGCCUGAGAGGGCGACCGGCCACACUGAGACUGAGACGCGGACGGGACGCGUACUGGAGGCAGAAGUGGGGAAUAUUGCACAAGGGGGGAAACACGUGUGCAGCGACGCAGCGGGCGGUAUGACGGCCUUCGGGUUGUAAACCGCUUUCAGCAGGGAAGAAGCGAAAGUGACGGUACCUGCAGAAGAAGUACCGGCUAACUACGUGCCAGCCGCCGCCGUAA